Molecule: non-coding RNA, 83 nt
Organism: Arthrobacter sp.
Lineage: Bacteria; Bacillati; Actinomycetota; Actinomycetes; Micrococcales; Micrococcaceae
Source: Rfam
GCGCGAGUGGCGGAAUGGCAGACGCGCCAGCUUGAGGUGCUGGUCCUGGAAACGGGGUGAGGGUUCAAGUCCCUUCUCGCGCA